UGUGUGUGGAGCUCUGCCCUGUUGGGAUCCCCUUAAUAUUCUUGCACUGAGCUCCAGCUCCAAUGUGAAUUUGAGCCCAUUCAUUCAGGUGGCUAGGCACCUAGGGUGAGGGCCCUCCACCUUUUUGGCAUGUGAGUUUGACACAGGGUAACAAUAGGCUGCACUGAAUUGUAGUGAGGAUUGUGGUGCGUGUGUGCUGUGCUGUGCUUCACCAAGGUAAAUUAUCAAGUUUUGCCUUUCUUUCCUGUGAUUUUAAUAAACUUUUGAACUUAUUUU
Long non-coding RNA from Notolabrus celidotus (New Zealand spotty), 276 nucleotides. RefSeq lists it as uncharacterized. The record is from RefSeq and is a predicted model, not a curated record. The transcript is spliced from 3 exons. NCBI's taxonomy places the organism in Eukaryota, Metazoa, Chordata, Actinopteri, Labriformes, Labridae.